GGAAGGAUCAUUAACGAAUAACUAUGGUGUCUUGGUUGUCGCUGGCUCCUCGGAGCAUCGUGCACGCCCGCCAUUUUUAUCUAUCCACCUGUGCACCGAAUGUAGGUCUGGAUGACUCUCGCCUCCGGGCGGAUGCGAGGUUUGCGUGCGAGCGCUCUCCUCGAAUUUCCAGGCUCUACGUCUCUUUACACACCCCAAACGUAUGAUGCAGAAUGUAGUCAAUGGGCCUUUACAAGCCUAUAAAACACUAUACAACUUUCAGCAACGGAUCUCUUGGCUCUCGCAUCGAUGAAGAACGCAGCGAAAUGCGAUAAGUAAUGUGAAUUGCAGAAUUCAGUGAAUCAUCGAAUCUUUGAACGCACCUUGCGCUCCUUGGUAUUCCGAGGAGCAUGCCUGUUUGAGUGUCAUUAAAUUCUCAACCUCACCGGUUUUCUGAACCGUUCUCCGAGGCUUGGAUGUGGGGGUUUGUGCAGGUCGCCUCAGCGCGGUCUGCUCCCCUGAAAUGCAUUAGCGAGAUUCAUUCUGGACCUCCGUCUAUCGGUGUGAUAAUUAUCUACGUCGUUGACUUGGUUCGGACUCGCUUCUAACCGUCCGCGAGGACAACAUACUUGACAAUUUGACCUCAAAUCAGGUAGGACUACCCGCUGAACUUAAGC
RNAcentral lists this ribosomal RNA (656 nucleotides) under Coprinellus disseminatus. Its description in RNAcentral is "eukaryotic LSU rRNA". The stretch from base 254 to 407 matches the Rfam family "5.8S ribosomal RNA". Lineage: Eukaryota; Fungi; Basidiomycota; Agaricomycetes; Agaricales; Psathyrellaceae. The record is from RNAcentral.